ACCACCUGGAGAAUGUAAUCUAAUGUGUAGUUCAUCUCUCCUCAGUAACCACCUGGAGAAGUCUCUGCAGCUCCUGAUGGACAGAGUGGAUGAUAUGAGUCAGGACAUUGUCAAGUAUAACACCUACAGCCGUAACCUCAGCAAGCAACAGCAGCAGAAACACCAGUAUGUCCAGCGGCGCCAGCAGGAGAAUGCUCAGAGACAGACCAGAGGAGAGACUCCUCUACCAGAGGAAGAUGUCUCCAAGAUGUUCAAACCACCACAGCCCCCUCCUCGCAUGGACACUCUCCUCAUCGCAGGACAGAUUAACAAUUACUGCCAGAAUGUGAAGGAGUUCACCUCCCAGAACCUCGGCAAACUCUUCAUGGCCGAGGCUCUUCAGGGACACAACAGCUAAAGGAGAAGACGAGAGGAGGAACUAAAACACACAGGAGAGAACCCCCCCUUUCACCCAAUCAGAAUGAUCCAUACAGGGCUGUGUUCUAAAUUGUACCCUCUUCCCUUAUAUAUAUAUAUAUAUAGUGCACUACUGGUCAAUACUAGUACACUACUGGUCAAAACUAGUACACUACUGGUCAAUACUAGUACACUGUAUAGGGAAUAGGGUGUAAUCUUGGGAUGGAUCCUAUGAUUGGAGGAUUGAUGUGAUGCUGUUAGAUUUGUUAAGAAAUUAAAAUAACGACGUGACCAACAUUAUUACUCAUUAUUAAGAAAACAUAUUCCACGUUCUCCAAAGAAGAUUUAUUUGAAUAUUAUUGUAACUUUUAAUAAACAUCUUUGCGUCUCCUCACAUUGUUUUGCCUCUCUGCGCUCGUUCUAUGUCCAUUCAUAAAGAUUAAACCUCGUCCUGCACCGAAACACACUUUCAAUGGAGAUUCUCCAUUGUCCAAUACUAGGCAUCGUCUGUUUCCGGGGAAACGGCCACCAGAAGUGUAGUUGUCCAAUACUAGGCAUCGGCUGUUUCCGGGGAAACGGCCACCAGAAGUGUAGUUGUCCAAUACUAGGCAUCGUCUGUUUCCGGGGAAACGGCCACCAGAAGUGUACGUGUCCAAUACUAGGCAUCGUCUGUUUCCGGGGAAACGGCCACCAGAAGUGUAGUUGUCCAAUACUAGGCAUCGUCUGUUUCCGGGGAAACGGCCACCAGAAGUGUACGUGUCCAAUACUAGGCAUCGUCUGUUUCCGGGGAAACGGCCACCAGAAGUGUAGUUGUCCAAUACUAGGCAUCGUCUGUUUCCGGGGAAACGGCCACCAGAAUUGUCCAAUACUAGGCAUCGUCUGUUUCCGGGGAAACGGCCACCAGAAUUGUCCAAUACUAGG
Molecule: RNA transcript, 1317 nt
Organism: Oncorhynchus keta (chum salmon)
Lineage: Eukaryota; Metazoa; Chordata; Actinopteri; Salmoniformes; Salmonidae
Gene name: eukaryotic translation initiation factor 3 subunit H
Exons: 6
Source: RefSeq, a predicted model, not a curated record